GAACGUACGCUGGCGGCACGCCUAACACAUGCAAGUCGAACGAAGUAGCAAUACUUAGUGGCAGACGGGUGAGUAACAUGUAGGUAUCUGCCCUUUGGCCUGGAAUAACACGAGGAAACUUGUGCUAAUACCGGAUAAGUCUUUACGGAGAAAGCUUUAUGCACCAUUGGAUGAGCCUGCACUUGAUUAGUUUGUUGGUGGGGUAAUGGCCUACCAAGACUGUGAUCAAUAGCUGAUUUGAGAGGAUGAUCAGCCACAUUGGGACUGAGACACGGCCCAAACUCCUACGGGAGGCAGCAGUGGGGAAUCUUGCACAAUGGAGGAAACUCUGAUGCAGCGAUGCCGCGUGAGUGAAGAAGGCCCUUGGGUCGUAAAGCUCUUUCGUCGGGGAAGAAAAUGACUGUACCCGAAUAAGAAGGUCCGGCUAACUUCGUGCCAGCAGCCGCGGUAAUACGAAGGGACCUAGCGUAGUUCGGAAUUACUGGGCUUAAAGAGUUCGUAGGUGGUUGAAAAAGUUGGUGGUGAAAUCCCAGAGCUUAACUCUGGAACUGCCAUCAAAACUUUUCAGCUAGAGUAUGAUAGAGGAAAGCAGAAUUUCUAGUGUAGAGGUGAAAUUCGUAGAUAUUAGAAAGAAUACCAAUUGCGAAGGCAGCUUUCUGGAUCAUUACUGACACUGAGGAACGAAAGCAUGGGUAGCGAAGAGGAUUAGAUACCCUCGUAGUCCAUGCCGUAAACGAUGUGUGUUAGACGUUGGAAAUUUAUUUUCAGUGUCGCAGGGAAACCGAUAAACACACCGCCUGGGAAGUACGACCGCAAGGUUAAAACUCAAAUGAAUUGACGGGGACCCGCACAAGUAGUGGAGCAUGUGGUUUAAUUCGAAGAUACGCGCAGAACCUUACCAACACUUGACAUGUUCGUCGCGACUCUAAGAGAUUAGAGUUUUCGGUUCGGCCGGACGAAACACAGGUGCUGCAUGGCUGUCGUCAGCUCGUGUCGUGAGAUGUUGGGUUAAGUCCCGCAACGAGCGCAACCCUCACUUUUAGUUGCCAUCAUUAAGUUGGGCACUCUGAAAGAACUGCCAGUGAUAAGCUGGAGGAAGGUGGGGAUGACGUCAAGUCCUCAUGGCCCUUACGUGUUGGGCUACACACGUGCUACAAUGGUAUCUACAACAGGAAGCAAGACUGCGAAGUUAAGCAAAUCCUUAAAAGAUACCUCAGUUCGGAUUGCACUCUGCAACUCGAGUGCAUGAAGCUGGAAUUACUAGUAAUCGUGGAUCAGCGUGCCACGGUGAAUGCGUUCCCGGGUCUUGUACACACCGCCCGUC
Molecule: ribosomal RNA, 1324 nt
Filed under: uncultured Alphaproteobacteria bacterium
Lineage: Bacteria; Pseudomonadati; Pseudomonadota; Alphaproteobacteria
Description: bacterial SSU rRNA
Rfam family: Bacterial small subunit ribosomal RNA
Source: RNAcentral